AACGUAGGUGGCAAGCGUUAUCCGGAAUUACUGGGCGUAAAGGGUGUGCAGGCGGGGGAGCAAGUGGGGUAUGAAAUAUCCUAGCUUAACUGGGAGGGGUUAUGCCAGACUGCUUUUCUAGAGGACGAGAGAGGGGGGUGGAAUUCCGGGUGUAGUGGUGAAAUGCGUAGAGAUCCGGAGGAACCCCAGAGGCGAAGGCGGCCCCCUGGCUCGUACCUGACGCUCAGCCACGAAAGCAUGGGGAGCGAACGGG
Molecule: ribosomal RNA, 253 nt
Filed under: uncultured bacterium
Lineage: Bacteria
Description: partial 16S ribosomal RNA
Rfam family: Bacterial small subunit ribosomal RNA
Source: RNAcentral